GGGGAAUCUUGCGCAAUGGGGGAAACCCUGACGCAGCGACGCCGCGUGAGUGAUGAAGGCCUUCGGGUUGUAAAGCUCUGUGGGGAGAGACGAAUAAGUGUAGUCGAAUAGACUGCAUGAUGACGGUAUCUCCUUAGCAAGCACCGGCUAACUCUGUGCCAGCAGCCGCGGUAAGACAGAGGGUGCAAACGUUGUUCGGAAUGACUGGGCGUAAAGCGUAUGUAGGCGGCUUUGCAGGUCGGAUGUGAAAUCCCUUGGCUCAACCAAGGAAGUGCAUUCGAAACCGCGGAGCUUGAGUGCCUGAGAGGAAGGUGGAAUUCUCGGUGUAGAGGUGAAAUUCGUAGAUAUCGAGAGGAACACCCGUGGCGAGAGCGGCCUUCUGGAAGAGCACUGACGCUGAGAUACGAAAGCAUGGGGAGCAAAC
Molecule: ribosomal RNA, 424 nt
Filed under: uncultured bacterium
Lineage: Bacteria
Description: bacterial SSU rRNA
Rfam family: Bacterial small subunit ribosomal RNA
Source: RNAcentral